This 3124-nucleotide long non-coding RNA is filed under the name Sus scrofa (pig). RNAcentral describes it as "lncRNA (ENSSSCG00045021502.1)". The record is from RNAcentral. Lineage: Eukaryota; Metazoa; Chordata; Mammalia; Artiodactyla; Suidae.
CCGCACCUGCAGCAUAAGGAAGAUCCCAGGCUAGGGGGCAGAGAUACAGCUGCCAGCCUACAUCACAGCCACAGCAAUGUGGUAUCCAAGCCUCGUCUGUGACCUACACCAAAGCUCACGGCAAUGCCGGAUCCCCAGCCCACAGAGGGGAUCGAAUCUGCAUCCUUGUGGAUACUGGUCAGAUUCAUUUCUGCUGGAAGAGAUAACAGUGGGGAAGUAGUAAUAUUAGAGAUAGAAAGAAGUGUAUGAAUUCAAAGGAUAUGUUGCCUAUAAGGCCAACGGGAUUUGCAGAUGAAUUAAACGGGGAGGAGUAGCGAGGAAGAGUAUGUCAAGAGUGGCUCCCAGCUCAACAUCAGGAGGACGGUAUUCGAUUUCUUGAGACUGAGAAGACACAUAUUUUGCAUAUAGAAACCAAAAUAUUUAAGUAUAUUGUGUGUGAGCUGCAUACUGGAUAUCCAAAUGGAAAUGAUGACUAGGACAGUGACCAUGAAUAUAUAGAGCUAAAGAGGGUGCUCGGGGCUGAAGCUGAAAAUAGGGCAUCUGUAACUUGGAGAUGGUGUUUAAAAACUUGGAGUUGGGGAGAUUCACUCCCAGUAUGGCUCCUACUAUUGGCCAUCUCACAGAUAAAAAGGAUAAACUCUGGAAAAAAUAACAAAAACAGGAGUUCCCACCGUGGCACAGUGGGUUAAGAAUUGGACUGCAGCAGCAUGGGUCACUGCAAAGGUGCAGGUUCGAUCCCCAGCGGAGGUCUCAGCUGUGGCUUGGAUUCACUCCCUGACCUGGGAACUUCCAUAUGCUGUGGGUGUGGCCAUUAAAAAAAUAAAUUAAAAAAACAACAACUACAUAAGGCUCUGAGAAGUAAACAAAGCAGACAGAUUCUGGAAAGGAAUUGAUGUUUGGAAAAAGACAUCAUCAUAGACGAGUUUCUCGUUUUUAUGGUUUUUAGCUUAUUUAGGAGGAAAAAAAUCAGUCUUUCUGCCCUGAAGAAUCAGAGCAAAUCUCUGUGACCCUGAACCACAACUGAUGGGGCCAACUGAAAGCUGCUCAGCUAAGGAUAAAAGACCUGAACUGAGAUUUCAGCUGCUGCCACCCAACAAAUGGAGUUUUUUGAGUUCGACCAAAUUAAUGGCUUAAAAAAAAAAAAAUCAAGUCUUUAAGGACUAUAACAGAAUCCAAAAUCUCCAUGGCAUAAAUCCUGUAAUAUCUGGAAUACAAUCUAAAAUUAUUCAACAUACAAAAAUCUAGGCAAGUGUGACUAGUAUUAAAAGAAAGACAAUCCAUGGAGAUCAACCACAAGAUGGAAUUAAGAGACUAUAAUUUUAGGGCAUCUAUUAGCAAUGCAGUAAAAGAAAGCACACUUGUAACGAAUGAGUAGAUAGGAACCUCACAAAGGAAAGGAAAUACUACCAAAAUUCAUACGGAAUUUCUAGAACUAAAAAUAGAGUAUCUGACAUCCUUUUUUAAAAAGUCACUGCAUGGGCUUAACAGACCAGAAGGAUGAUUCAAUGAACUUGAAUACAAAUCAAUAGGUAAUACACAAUCUGAAGAACAGAGGAGGAAAAAAAUUUUAAAGAACAAGAGCCUCAGUGGGACAAUAUCAAAAUGUCUAGGAGUUCCCUUGUGGUACAAUGGAUUAAGGAUCCAGUGUUAUCACUGCAGCGGCAAAGGCAAAAAAAAAAAAGGUCUAGCAUAUGUAUAAUUAGACAUGUUAAAUAAGAUCACCUAGGAGGACAGAAAAGGGGAGCAGUCUGAGGAAUAUGCCCAAAGGGGGUUCCAUUGAAGAAAAAAAAUCAACAAAUAAGAUAAAGAAGUAAUUCUUCAAUUUUCUCAUCCACCAGAAAAUCAACUUUGAUGUUUUUCUUUUCUCUUUGUCUUAUAUCUACAAACCUAGUCACCAAAAAAAGGCAGGUGACACGGAGGGACUUUCAUCUAUUAAAAGAAAUAAAGUUGCAACUUACCAACCCCUAUCCGUACUUCUGUCUCUACUCUGUUAGUAAGACCUAGCCAGUAGUAUGAAGUGUAGUAAUUUGUUAAAACAUAAAGGAAUUUACUUUCCUAGAAGUUUGUUUAUUGCUUCAUCUCACAAUGAAACUCUGUAUAGCAUUCCCCCAGGAAUUCUAUCACAAAAAGUCCCAUGAAAAAGAGAUUCCAAAAUUUUAAUCCACAAUCAGAACAAAAGUCACAUCAGACAAAAAUUAAAACAGUGACCAAAAAAAAAAAAAAAAAAAAAAUCAGAAAACCAACAAGGUUCAGAAGCUUACUGAGACCAAAGAAAAAGGAUAUUUCAAGAAAAUGAAAUCCAUUCCUGUGUGAGGCUUACAGAAGAAUAAACUUUAGCAGGUGAGAUGUAAAGCGAAGAUUAGAGAGGAUUAAAAAUGGUGUUUGAAAACAAACAGCCAAUGACAACACAACAAAUAAUAUUAAGUUCUUUAAGUACUUCGGAAAUAAGUCUGCUGCAAAGGGUUCAGUGAAUCGGCUAGACAAGCAGUGCACAAAGGAGAUAUUCAAAAGGAUGAGAAGAUUGCAGGGAAACUAAAUAAUGUAUUUGCAUCAGUUUUCACACCGAAGAAGAAGGCAGUGGAGGAAAAGGAGGAAAAACCUUAUUUCGUGAGAGAGAGGCCUGGCUCAGAUUGAGACAUCAAAGAGAACCAUGAGGCCAUGAAAUGGUGAAAGAAGAUCUUGCCAUGUUCCAGCCAAAGCAGGAGGCAUUCACCAGAGAAUGCCUGUAAUCCCUGAUUCCUUACAGCUUUAUCAUUUGCCAUUUAAAAGGCUUCCUACUGCGGUGAACUGGAAGGCAGGUUAUACUCUACCGCGGUUGGAAAAUAACCUUCAUUUCUAGAGUAGAAUGAUCUCCAUACAGCAAAAUAUGCAGCCCAUAGAUCAACCUGCUAGUUGAUCAAAAGUCAAACAAGAUUAUGCAGCGUGAAUACAGCCCCACGGAGAAUGUAUGGAAAUGGAAACAUCAUGUAUGUUUAGCGGGAGUAUAAACUGGUACCACCAGCUUUAGAGAACAUUUGUAAUAUCUAAUAAAAUUUAAAAUGUGCCCGCCAAAUGAAGUGCCAGUUUCACUGUUAGGUGCAUAUGCUAAAGGAAACUUGAGGAGAAAUUAUAAGAUUGCUAAUUG